Dermochelys coriacea (leatherback sea turtle) is the source of this 134-nucleotide long non-coding RNA. RefSeq lists it as uncharacterized. The transcript has 4 exons. Lineage: Eukaryota; Metazoa; Chordata; Testudines; Dermochelyidae. The record is from RefSeq and is a predicted model, not a curated record.
UUUCUUUUUGCGAAUACAGACUAACACGGCUGCUACUCUGAAACCUGUCCCCUUUUAAGAUAUAGAUAUUCAGGCCUAUCUGCAAAGGCCUGUACUUUAAGAAUUUAAGUGCAUUCUUAUCACUUAGCUAGUUA